This 1016-nucleotide ribosomal RNA is filed under the name uncultured bacterium. RNAcentral's name for it is "bacterial SSU rRNA". It matches the Rfam family "Bacterial small subunit ribosomal RNA", at positions 357 to 1376 of the family's 1533-position model. The record is from RNAcentral.
AGGAAUAUUGGUCAAUGGACGCGAGUCUGAACCAGCCAAGUAGCGUGAAGGAUGACUGCCCUAUGGGUUGUAAACUUCUUUUAUAAAGGAAUAAAGUCGGGUAUGGAUACCCGUUUGCAUGUACUUUAUGAAUAAGGAUCGGCUAACUCCGUGCCAGCAGCCGCGGUAAUACGGAGGAUCCGAGCGUUAUCCGGAUUUAUUGGGUUUAAAGGGAGCGUAGAUGGAUAUUUAAGUCAGUUGUGAAAGUUUGCGGCUCAACCGUAAAAUUGCAGUUGAUACUGGAUAUCUUGAGUGCAGUUGAGGCAGGCGGAAUUCGUGGUGUAGCGGUGAAAUGCUUAGAUAUCACGAAGAACUCCGAUUGCGAAGGCAGCCUGCUAAGCUGCAACUGACAUUGAGGCUCGAAAGUGUGGGUAUCAAACAGGAUUAGAUACCCUGGUAGUCCACACGGUAAACGAUGAAUACUCGCUGUUUGCGAUAUACUGCAAGCGGCCAAGCGAAAGCGUUAAGUAUUCCACCUGGGGAGUACGCCGGCAACGGUGAAACUCAAAGGAAUUGACGGGGGCCCGCACAAGCGGAGGAACAUGUGGUUUAAUUCGAUGAUACGCGAGGAACCUUACCCGGGCUUAAAUUGCAGAUGAAUUACGGUGAAAGCCGUAAGCCGCAAGGCAUCUGUGAAGGUGCUGCAUGGUUGUCGUCAGCUCGUGCCGUGAGGUGUCGGCUUAAGUGCCAUAACGAGCGCAACCCUUGUUGUCAGUUACUAACAGGUUCCGCUGAGGACUCUGACAAGACUGCCAUCGUAAGAUGUGAGGAAGGUGGGGAUGACGUCAAAUCAGCACGGCCCUUACGUCCGGGGCUACACACGUGUUACAAUGGGGGGUACAGAGGGCCGCUACCACGCGAGUGGAUGCCAAUCCCCAAAACCUCUCUCAGUUCGGACUGGAGUCUGCAACCCGACUCCACGAAGCUGGAUUCGCUAGUAAUCGCGCAUCAGCCACGGCGCGGUGAAUACGUUCCCG